RNAcentral lists this ribosomal RNA (492 nucleotides) under Centipeda noxia. RNAcentral describes it as "bacterial SSU rRNA". It matches the Rfam family "Bacterial small subunit ribosomal RNA", at positions 28 to 492 of the family's 1533-position model. Lineage: Bacteria; Bacillati; Bacillota; Negativicutes; Selenomonadales; Selenomonadaceae. The record is from RNAcentral.
GACGAACGCUGGCGGCGUGCCUAACACAUGCAAGUCGAACGGAGCGAAUGAAAGCUUGCUUUUAUAAGCUUAGUGGCAAACGGGUGAGUAACACGUAGGCAACCUGCCGACAGGAUGGGGACAACAUUCCGAAAGGAAUGCUAAUACCGAAUGAAGUCGAGGGAGGGCAUCCUCCUCCGAUGAAAGAUGGCCUCUAUAUAUAAGCUAUCACCUGUCGAUGGGCCUGCGUCUGAUUAGCUGGUAGGUGAGGUAACGGCUCACCUAGGCGACGAUCAGUAGCCGGUCUGAGAGGAUGAACGGCCACAUUGGGACUGAGACACGGCCCAGACUCCUACGGGAGGCAGCAGUGGGGAAUCUUCCGCAAUGGGCGCAAGCCUGACGGAGCAACGCCGCGUGAGUGAAGAAGGUCUUCGGAUCGUAAAGCUCUGUUGAUGGGGACGAACGUGCCUAAUGCGAAUAGUAUUAGGUAAUGGCGGUACCCAUCGAGAAGCC